GGCACUUUGGCGGAGUGGUUAACGCGAUGCCCUGCUACCUAGUCAGGCAUUUCCCUCGGGAGCGUGUGUUCGAAUCACACAGGUGUCG
This 88-nucleotide transfer RNA is filed under the name Blumeria graminis f. sp. tritici. It matches the Rfam family "tRNA". Rfam says of the family: Transfer RNA (tRNA) molecules are approximately 80 nucleotides in length. Their secondary structure includes four short double-helical elements and three loops (D, anti-codon, and T loops). The record is from Rfam by way of RNAcentral. RNAcentral also lists the same sequence under 1 other name. Lineage: Eukaryota; Fungi; Ascomycota; Leotiomycetes; Helotiales; Erysiphaceae.